UGGGGAAUAUUGGACAAUGGGCGAAAGCCUGAUCCAGCAAUGCCGCGUGUGUGAAGAAGGUCUUCGGAUUGUAAAGCACUUUCGACGGGGACGAUGAUGACGGUACCCGUAGAAGAAGCCCCGGCUAACUUCGUACACG
This 139-nucleotide ribosomal RNA is filed under the name uncultured bacterium. RNAcentral describes it as "partial 16S ribosomal RNA". It matches the Rfam family "Bacterial small subunit ribosomal RNA", at positions 355 to 511 of the family's 1533-position model. The record is from RNAcentral.